Molecule: ribosomal RNA, 347 nt
Filed under: Enicmus maculatus
Lineage: Eukaryota; Metazoa; Arthropoda; Insecta; Coleoptera; Latridiidae
Description: partial 12S ribosomal RNA
Source: RNAcentral
UAAAUAAAUAAUUCAAUACCAGAUUAUUAUUAGUUAUGUUCUUUAAAAUUAAAGAUUUUGGCGGUAUUUUAGACUUUUCAGAGGAACCUGUUCUGUAAUUGAUAUUCCACGAUUAAUUAAACUAAUUUUAGUAGUUUGUAUAUCGUUGUAGUUGAAUAUUUUAAAAGAAGAAUAAUAUUCAAAAAUUUGUAUUAAAAAAAAAAUCAAAUCAAGGUGCAGCUUAUAGAUUAGAAGAAAUGGGUUACAUUAAAGAUAUUUAUGGUUUUAAUAAUUUAAAUUAUUAAAUAAAUUGGAUUUGAAAGUAAUUUAAUUUAGUUUAAUUAAAUGAUUUUAGCUCUAAAAUAUGU